GCCCAUGUGGUAUAGCUUGGAUAGCAUAGGGGCUUGCGGAGCCUCGGACCCGGGUUCGAAUCCCGGCGUGGGCA
RNAcentral lists this transfer RNA (74 nucleotides) under archaeon. RNAcentral describes it as "tRNA-Arg". It matches the Rfam family "tRNA". Rfam says of the family: Transfer RNA (tRNA) molecules are approximately 80 nucleotides in length. Their secondary structure includes four short double-helical elements and three loops (D, anti-codon, and T loops). RNAcentral also lists the same sequence under 1 other name. The record is from RNAcentral.